GAUAUAUGCAUAGAUUUCAAAAACUUUUGAAUAGCAGUGGAAAAGAACUGGGUUAAACCCUUUAACUCUCACAUGCAUUAGAUCAUAUCUAAUCCUAUCCGAGCUCAGGAAUUAAGACAUGUAUAUAAUCUGAAAAUUAAAAUAGAAAAGAGAUCAAAUCUCAAUACCUUUGCAUGGAUUGAAAUAUACCACUACUAAUGAUCUUAGAUUC
RNAcentral lists this long non-coding RNA (211 nucleotides) under Elaeis guineensis (African oil palm). RNAcentral's name for it is "long non-coding RNA (EGUI_LNC064408)". Lineage: Eukaryota; Viridiplantae; Streptophyta; Magnoliopsida; Arecales; Arecaceae. The record is from RNAcentral.